Molecule: small RNA, 297 nt
Organism: Firmicutes bacterium CAG:227
Lineage: Bacteria; Bacillati; Bacillota
Rfam family: 5' ureB small RNA
Source: Rfam
CACAGUCAAUCUGCUGAGGACUGAUGAAAUGAAUAUGGGUAUCAAUUCCACCUGCUGUGACAAUCAUGCCUUCGCCUGCAAGUGCUUCUGUGGAUGCACCGACUGUCAUUCCCGGUGUCACACCAUCCAUAAUAUCCGGGUUUCCGGCUUUUCCGAUUCCCUUGAUUUUGCCAUCUUUAAUUCCGAUAUCUGCCUUUACGAUUCCUGUAGAAUCCACGAUUAAUGCAUUUGUAAUAACCAGGUCUAAGUCUCCAUCUUUACUACAGGUUUUUACAGACUGUCCCAUACCAUCACGAA